This 757-nucleotide long non-coding RNA is filed under the name Ananas comosus (pineapple). RNAcentral describes it as "long non-coding RNA (ACOM_LNC016496)". The record is from RNAcentral. Lineage: Eukaryota; Viridiplantae; Streptophyta; Magnoliopsida; Poales; Bromeliaceae.
AAUUAAUUUCAAAUUUUAAAAUUUGAAUUUAUAUUUAAAAUUUUGAAUUAAACUUUAAAUUUAAACUGUUGUUCAUUUGAUUGGUAUUUAUAAAUUAUUCUACUAGCUCAUCAACAUAUAUAUAUAGAGCUAGAUUGGUAUACUAUCGGUAGUACGGAGGCCUCCGUGCUACCAAGUUAUUUUCAAUGAUGCGGCUUCCAAAUCGACGAUUGGCUCCGUUAGACUUGAUCUACACUAUUAAAAGUAUUUGAAAACUAAAUUUUAUAAUUUUUCGACAUCAUUUGGCUAAUGAUCAAAAGGUUUCAAAAUUGACAAUUUUAAUGAUAGAUGUGAUGCGUUUGUAAAUUUAACGGUGUAAAACAAUCCAAAUCUGAUAAAUUUUUAUAGAAAAUUCUUUUCACUAUUUAGAGUAAGAUCAGUACCUCUGAUCUUAAAUUUAAAUCUUUUAUCAUCAUUUUUAAGAGAUUUUUAUUUUCAGCCGUUCAUUUUUAGACUACUCGUUUGAUAGAUAUAUGACGCUGAAAAAUUAUGAAAUUUAGUUUUCAAAUACCUUUAAUAGUGUAGAUCAAGUCUAAAGGAGCCGAUCGUCGAUUUGGAGGCCGCAUCAUUGAAAACAACUUGGUAGCGCGGAGGCCUCAAAAUCACUCAUCAAGUUUCGAGGGGAAAACAAGUUAGAAUGAAGAUUGUAUGCAAUCUUUACUUUUCACUUAAAGUGAAUAGUAACCCGGAUUUUCGGAGAGGCCAAUGAGUAGAGAUG